Molecule: long non-coding RNA, 317 nt
Filed under: Brassica napus (rape)
Lineage: Eukaryota; Viridiplantae; Streptophyta; Magnoliopsida; Brassicales; Brassicaceae
Description: long non-coding RNA (BNAP_LNC023003)
Source: RNAcentral
AUUCGCACCAUACAAGUCAUACAAGGCGAGAACCUAUCGCGGACUUUGAAUCGGUACGAAUCAUGUAGAAAUCGCAACAGGAAAAUCGAUAGCCGGCUAGUCACCGCACAAACCUUAAAACCGAGAGUAAACCUAGGUCUUGCCCUAAACCCAUCGCAUUGGUCUCUAACAUCUCAAGACAUGAUAUCUAAAAAAUAAUACGAGAUCCUAAAACAUGUCUCUCCGUUCAUAUCUUAACGUUCCCGAAAGUUCAUAAAAAUUGUUUAUGAGACGACAACUCAUGUUUGCUUCAAACACACUCGAAACAAAGUAGAUCA